Molecule: ribosomal RNA, 254 nt
Filed under: uncultured bacterium
Lineage: Bacteria
Description: partial 16S ribosomal RNA
Rfam family: Bacterial small subunit ribosomal RNA
Source: RNAcentral
UACGUAGGGUGCAAGCGUUGUCCGGAUUUAUUGGGCGUAAAGAGCUCGUAGGCGGUUUGGCAAGUUGGGUGUGAAAACUCCAGGCUCAACCUGGAGAUGCCACCCAAGACUGCUAUGACUUGAGUCUGGUAGGGGAGCACGGAAUUCCUGGUGUAGCGGUGAAAUGCGUAGAUAUCUGGAGGAACACCGGUGGCGAAGGCGGCAUCCUGGACCGAUAUUGACGCUGAUGCGCGAAAGCCAGGGGAGCAAACGGG